RNAcentral lists this ribosomal RNA (301 nucleotides) under uncultured bacterium. RNAcentral describes it as "partial 16S ribosomal RNA". It matches the Rfam family "Bacterial small subunit ribosomal RNA", at positions 509 to 807 of the family's 1533-position model. The record is from RNAcentral.
CAGUCGCCACGGUAAUACGUAGGGUGCGAGCGUUAAUCGGAAUUACUGGGCGUAAAGCGUGCGCAGGCGGUUUGUUAAGACAGAUGUGAAAUCCCCGGGCUCAACCUGGGAACUGCAUUUGUGACUGGCAAGCUAGAGUGUGGCAGAGGGGGGUGGAAUUCCGCGUGUAGCAGUGAAAUGCGUAGAUAUGCGGAGGAACACCGAUGGCGAAGGCAGCCACCUGGGCCAACACUGACGCUCAUGCACGAGAGCGUGGGGAGCAAACAGGAUUAGAUACCCGCGUAGUCCCUGUCUCUUAUAC